AAAUUGAAGAGUUUGAUCAUGGCUCAGAUUGAACGCUGGCGGCAGGCCUAACACAUGCAAGUCGAACGGUAACACAGAGAGCUUGCUCUCGGGUGACGAGUGGCGGACGGGUGAGUAAUGUCUGGGAAACUGCCUGAUGGAGGGGGAUAACUACUGGAAACGGUGGCUAAUACCGCAUAACGUCGCAAGACCAAAGAGGGGGACCUUCGGGCCUCUUGCCAUCAGAUGUGCCCAGAUGGGAUUAGCU
Molecule: ribosomal RNA, 247 nt
Filed under: Salmonella enterica
Lineage: Bacteria; Pseudomonadati; Pseudomonadota; Gammaproteobacteria; Enterobacterales; Enterobacteriaceae
Also listed under: 2 other names
Description: partial 16S ribosomal RNA
Rfam family: Bacterial small subunit ribosomal RNA
Source: RNAcentral